This 764-nucleotide ribosomal RNA is filed under the name Blastococcus saxobsidens. RNAcentral describes it as "partial 23S ribosomal RNA". It matches the Rfam family "Bacterial large subunit ribosomal RNA", at positions 564 to 1284 of the family's 2925-position model. Lineage: Bacteria; Bacillati; Actinomycetota; Actinomycetes; Geodermatophilales; Geodermatophilaceae. The record is from RNAcentral.
CUACAAGCCGUGAGAGCCUUAUCCACUUCGGUGGAGGGGUGAUUGCGUGCCUUUUGAAGAAUGAGCCUGCGAGUUAGCGGUACGUGGCGAGGUUAACCCGUGUGGGGUAGCCGUAGCGAAAGCGAGUCCGAACAGGGCGACAUAGUCGCGUGCCCUAGACCCGAAGCCGAGUGAUCUACCCAUGGCCAGGUUGAAGCGCGGGUAAGACCGCGUGGAGGACCGAACCCACCAGGGUUGAAAACCUGGGGGAUGAGCUGUGGGUAGGGGUGAAAGGCCAAUCAAACUCGGUGAUAGCUGGUUCUCCCCGAAAUGCAUUUAGGUGCAGCGUCACGUGUUUCUUGCCGGAGGUAGAGCACUGGAUGGCCGAUGGGCCCCACAAGGUUACUGACGUCAACCAAACUCCGAAUGCCGGUAAGUGAGAGCGUGGCAGUGAGACUGCGGGCGAUAAGGUUCGUAGUCGAGAGGGAAACAGCCCAGAUCAUCGGCUAAGGCCCCUAAGCGUGUGCUAAGUGGAAAAGGAUGUGGGAUCGCAGAGACAACCAGGAGGUUGGCUUAGAAGCAGCCACCCUUGAAAGAGUGCGUAAUAGCUCACUGGUCAAGUGGUUCCGCGCCGACAAUGUAGCGGGGCUCAAGCACACCGCCGAAGCCGUGGCAUUCACACUUUUCCCGUCGCAGGUCUUGAAUCUGCGGCCAGGUGUGUGGAUGGGUAGGGGAGCGUCGUGUGGCGGUCGAAGCGGCGGAGUGAUCCAGCCGUGGACGCCACA